This 376-nucleotide ribosomal RNA is filed under the name Maianthemum bifolium. RNAcentral describes it as "eukaryotic LSU rRNA". The stretch from base 236 to 376 matches the Rfam family "Eukaryotic large subunit ribosomal RNA", at positions 1 to 141 of the family's 3401-position model. Lineage: Eukaryota; Viridiplantae; Streptophyta; Magnoliopsida; Asparagales; Asparagaceae. The record is from RNAcentral.
UGCAGAAUCCCGUUAACCAUCGAGUCUUUGAACGCAAGUUGUGCACAAGGCUAUCCUGCCGAGGGCACGCCUGCCUGGGAAUCAUGCCUCGCGUCGCUCCGCACACCCUGCCCCCCUAGAAUAGGGAGGCGGCGGGCGCAGAUGCGGGGAUUGGCCCCCCGUGCACUGAACGCCACCUCCACACCCGGCCCCAGCGGCGCAUGCAAGGAAUCGAUGCCGAGCACCCCUUGGAAAACGACCCCAGGUCAGGCGGGGCCACCCGCUGAGCUUAAGCAUAUCAAUAAGCGGAGGAGAAGAAACUUACCAGGAUUCCCCUAGUAACGGCGAGCGAACCGGGAAGAGCCCAGCUUGGGAAUCGGGCGGCCGCACCGCCCGA